Molecule: ribosomal RNA, 467 nt
Filed under: uncultured bacterium
Lineage: Bacteria
Description: partial 16S ribosomal RNA
Rfam family: Bacterial small subunit ribosomal RNA
Source: RNAcentral
GACGAACGCUGGCGGCGUGCUUAACACAUGCAAGUCGAACGGAAAGGCUUCUUUCGGGGGGUACUCGAGUGGCGAACGGGUGAGUAACACGUGAGUAACCUGCCCUUGACUUUGGGAUAACUUCAGGAAACUGGGGCUAAUACCGGAUAGGAGCUCCUGCUGCAUGGUGGGGGUUGGAAAGUUUCGGCGGUUGGGGAUGGACUCGCGGCUUAUCAGCUUGUUGGUGGGGUAGUGGCUUACCAAGGCUUUGACGGGUAGCCGGCCUGAGAGGGUGACCGGCCACAUUGGGACUGAGAUACGGCCCAGACUCCUACGGGAGGCAGCAGUGGGGAAUAUAGCACAAUGGGUGGAAGCCUGAUGCAGCAACGCCGUGUGCGGGAUGACGGCCUUCGGGUUGUAAACCGCUUUCGCUCAUGACGAAGCUUUGUGUGACGGUAGUGGGUAAAGAAGCACCGGCUAACUACGUG